UACGUAGGGUGCAAGCGUUGUCCGGAAUUAUUGGGCGUAAAGAGCUCGUAGGCGGUCUGUUGCGUCGGCUGUGAAACCCCGGGGCUUAACUCCGGGCCUGCAGUCGAUACGGGCAGACUAGAGUACGGUAGGGGAGACUGGAAUUCCUGGUGUAGCGGUGAAAUGCGCAGAUAUCAGGAGGAACACCGGUGGCGAAGGCGGGUCUCUGGGCCGAAACUGACGCUGAGGAGCGAAAGCGUGGGGAGCAAACAGGAUUAGAAACCCUAGUAGUCC
RNAcentral lists this ribosomal RNA (273 nucleotides) under uncultured Frankiales bacterium. RNAcentral describes it as "partial 16S ribosomal RNA". It matches the Rfam family "Bacterial small subunit ribosomal RNA", at positions 524 to 796 of the family's 1533-position model. Lineage: Bacteria; Bacillati; Actinomycetota; Actinomycetes; Frankiales. The record is from RNAcentral.